GAUGAACGCUGGCGGCGUGCCGAAUACAUGCAAGUCGAACGGUGAAGGUGGGAGCUUGCUCCUGCUGGAUCAGUGGCGAACGGGUGAGUAACACGUGAGUAACCUGCCCUUGACUCUGGGAUAAGCGUUGGAAACGACGUCUAAUACCGGAUACGAGCUUCAGCCGCAUGGCUAGGAGUUGGAAAGAUUUUUCGGUCAAGGAUGGACUCGCGGCCUAUCAGCUUGUUGGUGAGGUAAUGGCUCACCAAGGCGACGACGGGUAGCCGGCCUGACGGGGUAACCGGCCACACUGGGACUGAGACACGGCCCAGACGCCGACGGGAGGCAGCAGUGGGGAAUAGUGCACAAUGGGCGCAAGCCUGAUGCAGCGACGCCGCGUGAGGGACGACGGCCUUCGGGUUGUAAACCUCUUUUAGCAGGGAAGAAGCGCAAGUGACGGUACCUGCAGAAAAAGCACCGGCUAACUACGUGCCAGCCGCCGCCGUAA
RNAcentral lists this ribosomal RNA (487 nucleotides) under uncultured bacterium. RNAcentral describes it as "partial 16S ribosomal RNA". It matches the Rfam family "Bacterial small subunit ribosomal RNA", at positions 28 to 523 of the family's 1533-position model. The record is from RNAcentral.